RNAcentral lists this ribosomal RNA (467 nucleotides) under uncultured bacterium. RNAcentral's name for it is "partial 16S ribosomal RNA". It matches the Rfam family "Bacterial small subunit ribosomal RNA", at positions 28 to 507 of the family's 1533-position model. The record is from RNAcentral.
GACGAACGCUGGCGGCGUGCUUAAACAUGCAAGUCGAACGGAAAGGCCCUGCUUUUGUGGGGUGCUCGAGUGUAGAACGGGUGAGUAACACGUGAGUAACCUGCCCUUGCCUUUGGGGUAACUUCAGGAAACUGGGGCUAAUACCGGAUAGGAGCUCCUGCUGCAUGGUGGGGGUUGGAAAGUUUCGGCGGUUGGGGAUGGACUCGCGGCUUAUCAGCUUGUUGGUGGGGUAGUGGCUUACCAAGGCUUUGACGGGUAGCCGGCCUGAGAGGGUGACCGGCCACAUUGGGACUGAGAUACGGCCCAGACUCCUACGGGAGGCAGCAGUGGGGAAUAUUGCACAAUGGGCGGAAGCCUGAUGCAGCAACGCCGCGUGCGGGAUGACGGCCUUCGGGUUGUAAACCGCUUUCGCCUGUGACGAAGCGUGAGUGACGGUAAUGGGUAAAGAAGCACCGGCUAACUACGUG